Triplophysa rosa is the source of this 1583-nucleotide long non-coding RNA. RefSeq lists it as uncharacterized. The transcript is spliced from 4 exons. The record is from RefSeq and is a predicted model, not a curated record. NCBI's taxonomy places the organism in Eukaryota, Metazoa, Chordata, Actinopteri, Cypriniformes, Nemacheilidae.
CUGAAAUGUGUAUGGUAACCAAGCCUCCUUUGAAAGGCACAAAUGAACUGAAAUCUUGUCGUUGUCAUUUUGACUGUACGCCUCCACAGCUGUUGGAAAGACCCCGCUGUGGAGCGGGAGGUGGUUGGGGAGUGUUAGCUUUCUUUAUAUCUGCUAUGUUACCUGUGUCGGAAAGAGCUCAUAAUCAUAGUCCUGCCAGUGUUAUGAGGCAUUACGUAACUAAUGAUGUGUUUACAGAUAGUCGGACAGUAAAAGGAAACAUUGUGGGGGUGUAAGAAUGUCUGUUUGACUGUAAUCAACUUUUUCUUUUAGAUCCGGGAUUUGUUCUGACACCGUUGGAGGAAUCACCGCCCGAAUGUCUUCAGAGAGCGGCUUUGUUCCAGACGUUAGUGAAAUCGCUGUUGGCUACAUGCUGCACAGUUCCAGGUGUUCGGCCUCAGUGUGUUUGCUGAAGCGAGGUCUGAUCUGACACUGGAAAUUAUCCAGACCGGUUAUGACACACUCCACUGAGCCAGGGUCAUCUGGAAACCCGUCAACGAUCCUCCACCAGCACCAAGACUCUCGGCAUAUGGCUUCUUUGACCCUGAAGGGCACCGGUUACCCAGAAAGCCUCAGUGUGUUCCAGGAUUUGGUGUUGAAACAGGAGGAAGCUGGCGAGAGCAAACUGCUGCGAAUAUGAGAUGGGUGAAACGCUCGGAGAGAAACAUCAAACGCUUUCUCGCAGCGCUCUUUGGCCCAGAGCUGCCCACACACUCAUACACGGGCAUUUCCAGCUCAGAGCUUCGCGCCCAGACUACUCAUCCACCCGGAUUCAACUGCCUCGGCCAAUCACGGAGAAGUGCCGUGACCCCAUCGUGACUCUCCUCCUGCCCACAGCCAAUGAUCUCAUCCCCUCGGUGGAUCCCGCCCACUGCUGAAUUGUGCCUCUGCUGCGCUUUCCCGAGGUCAUGGGGAAUUCUGAAAAUUACAUUUCUUUUGUUGUUAUGCAUUAUUUUGGGAUGGGGGCGAAAGGGUGUCCUGAAAGUGCACGGUUUGUUAAAAUGCAUGAAGUCGAUUCACUCUGUCAAAAUAAGACCCGAUGAGUCAUAAAAGUUCCCUGAAUAGGGAAAGAUCGAAAUCUUCACAUUUUUGUUCUUAAGAACAUGUCAUGUUAGCUGUACAAUAUGGCAUGAAUUUAUCAGCUUUAGCACAAUUUUUCAUCAGGUCCAGCUAAUCCUCAAGGACACCUGAGAGGUAUCAGUAGCUCAAAGACAUAUGAAUCAGAAAUGAGACCAGAGGCUGUUGUGUUGAAUGUAAGAUGGAGGAGAUGCCUGGAUAAACUGCUUUUGUGGAGAUACAGCUCAUUACAUUAACUGCCUGACUGCUAAUCUUUAAUGUGUCUGGCAUGAUACAUUCAUUUAAGAGAGAGCUAUAUUUGGAGUUUGCUAUAAAAUAAUAGCAGUGCUUUACAAAGUCAUGGAAAUUUUGUGACAGGUAAGAUUUAUUAAUGACACUGGCACGCCAAUGGUGGCUAAUGGUUAGAAAACUGUUCAAUGCCAUUAUCCCUGAUAAUAAAAAUAACUUGAACCAGGAUUGCUGGUCUU